This 461-nucleotide ribosomal RNA is filed under the name uncultured bacterium. Its description in RNAcentral is "partial 16S ribosomal RNA". It matches the Rfam family "Bacterial small subunit ribosomal RNA", at positions 338 to 795 of the family's 1533-position model. The record is from RNAcentral.
CCUACGGGCGGCAGCAGUGAGGAAUAUUGGUCAAUGGGCGAGAGCCUGAACCAGCCAAGUCGCGUGAAGGAUGACGGCCCUACGGGUUGUAAACUUCUUUUGUCAGGGAGCAAUUGGGUCCAUGCGUGGGCUUAGCGAGAGUACCUGAAGAAAAAGCAUCGGCUAACUCCGUGCCAGCAGCCGCGGUAAUACGUAGGUGGCAAGCGUUGUCCGGAUUUACUGGGUGUAAAGGGAGCGUAGGCGGGAUGACAAGUCAGAAGUGAAAAUUAUGGGCUCAACUCAUAACCUGCUUUUGAAACUGAUAUUCUUGAGUGAAGGAGAGGCAAGCGGAAUUCCUAGUGUAGCGGUGAAAUGCGUAGAUAUUAGGAGGAACACCAGUGGCGAAGGCGGCUUGCUGGGCUUUUACUGACGCUGAGGCUCGAAAGCGUGGGGAGCAAACAGGAUUAGAUACCCUAGUAGUC